This 228-nucleotide long non-coding RNA is filed under the name Homo sapiens (human). Its description in RNAcentral is "HSALNT0368551". The record is from RNAcentral. Lineage: Eukaryota; Metazoa; Chordata; Mammalia; Primates; Hominidae.
CGGGCGUAGAACAGCGCCGUGGAGUGGGGAGCGCAGCUGUGGGUCCUCUACGCUGGUGUCGAGCGGCCCGUGUCGCGCAUGGGCCAAAAGCAGGAGAACGGUAGCCACGUCCUGGGCCUGCACGGCGGCCCACAGCUGGCGGCCCAGCGGCUCCUCCGAGGUGCUCAGCGGCGCCAGGAACAGUAGCUGCUCGUACUUGGCGCGAAUCCACGACUCGCGCUCCUCCCU